Molecule: long non-coding RNA, 3791 nt
Filed under: Mus pahari (shrew mouse)
Lineage: Eukaryota; Metazoa; Chordata; Mammalia; Rodentia; Muridae
Source: RNAcentral
CAGUCAAUUCUAAAGAGCAGUUCCUGGAUCCACAGCUUCUGGGGCAGGAGGAUUCCGAUAUGUUGUAUCUACCAGCAACACUCGACGUUAUCCAAAGAGAUUCUAGGGAUUCAGUUUGUCAUGGGAAGAAUCUUCUGGAGGCCAAGGGAACAGUAGACAAGAGGCCCUGGUUUUCCUGACGGAGCUCUCUGAGAACAGAGGGUUCCCUGCACACGAGAUGUGAGACCGCGUGCCUUGUGUGAGCCUCAGAUGAGCCCUGCAGCUCCCUCAGGAUGCUAUUCGGAUAGUGCCGGUGGAGAAGCCCCCGAGGAAGCAUGGUCCUGCUUGCGACGAACUUGCUAUCCUUUCCCGGACACCCUUCGCUGCUUCUACCAGUUUUCAGUGCCAGGAUGCGCUUGAAGGGUGAGCUGAUGCCAGGGAUGUAGCCUUCCCCAGCCAGAGCAUGUGGGCCAAACCCUUUCUGGAUGGCUAGGCAGUGGGGAGAAGCCAUGAGAUGCUUGAGAAGUAGUCACAUCUCCCCUAGGGACAGUCUGGUUUUCAGGGUUACAUCCAUUCAAAAACACCCCCGGAAUUCAGGCUUGUGAAAGAUAAGCCAUCUUGACCCUGUUCCUUUGUUCCCACUGAGGUCCUGUCCUUGGCAUCCCCUUCUGGUUACACACCACCAAGGCACAGACACUACCCUGUCCUGCUGUUUGGCUCUGGAAGAAAUUUGAUUCCUUUCUUUUUGUGCUGGUGGCGAUCACACACAAAAGGGAUGAUGGUGGUGGCGGACAGGAAGCUCAGCUCCUGCCGCCCGGAUGACUCUUCCCUUUGUGGUGACCAAUCCUGGAUGGAAUCCAUUCAAGAUGAAUGCCAGCUUCAUACAAGAGCCCUAUCAGGAUUGGCCUGAGAGAGCGGUGCUGUCAGCUCCUAAAAGUGAAGACUAAACGGCCUAUCUAUGUAAGAUUCUCAGAAGGAAGCCCAAAGCCCAGGAAGGAAUGAUGGACCAGAAACCACAGGACAUGCUCGCAAGGAAGACUUGCUGCAUGGUGGAUGGUCCUGAGAUGGCGGUGCUCACAGGUGGUCACGUUUGGUGCUUGCAGAUUCGUAAUCCCUGCGCCCUUGGCUUUAUUUAUUCUGAUCAUACAAUGACAAACCAGUUCCCAGUGCUGCUAUAGAGGGCUUUCUGGACUGCAAUGCACCUUCCGUAAGGAGAACUUGGCUUCAGCAGCUAGUCCAGAGAUGAGACAGUAGGAGUGGAGGAUCGCCUGGGAUCAUGUAGAGCUCAAUGACCCUUCUCUUGAUUCAUGUGAGGAUGCUAGUAGCCUUGGUUGGAUUUUUCUGCAGUGGGACUUUUAUAGUCCCCUCAGGACCUUGAUGUGACUAACCAUAUGUUCACCAUUGAGAAACGCAAGUCCCCAUCCACACACCCCAGGGUCUAUAUACCUGCAGAGGACUUCUGACCUACAGCAAGUGGGCUCCCUUCUCAUCUUGAAAACCUUCCAGUGUGAACUCUAGAACCAAGGAAGACAGAGAAAGGGGACAAUGUCAGCAUCAUUGCAAGGGAGUACCAAAUGCUACCUCUAAGGAUUUCCUGGACAUGAUGGCAACUUGCAGAAAGAUGGCGGUUCAGUCAAGCUGGUAGAGAAGCCAAGUAUGGAUGUUUGGCCACGGACAGUGUGCUUGAGCUAGCUGUAAGUCACCUGGUCGGGUUACCUGAGCAUCUGAUCCAUCUGUAGGCCUCUCAUCAGUGGGCCGUGCUAACCUUGGUGAGGCAGCUGUGGCUCAGCCCCCCAAGUAUCAGCUUACAAGACUUUGAAAAGAGGUCAUCUUCCGGAAGAGAUGUUGGUGCCAGCACCAUUCAGGGUGUGUGACUGGUUGACCAGAGGGGCAUGCACUCUGUUCACCCUGUGGGCCACCUAGUCACCAACCCUCAGCAUCAAUUCCACUCAAAGAAGAGUUUCCAGAGAUCCUAUCAAGUUUGGGGAUGUGUCAAUGGACUUGAUGGCUGUGCCUGCUCAGUGGACCAGGAUGAACUGUGGUCUUAGGGGUGUAUGUUUACAUAAGAUGCCAUGAGGCAUUCGUGGUAGCCGCUGCAUCACUAUCACAGCCUACUUGAAAUGUUGACUUCAGAUGUGGACAUGAUGUUGACUUCCCAUGAGGGACCUGAAUUCCCUUCUCUCCUGGGAGAGUCUGUGAGAUGAUACCAGCCUUGAGAAGCAGGCAUGGUUGUCCUGACAUCACCACACUACCACAGGAGCUUCUGGAAUAUGUUCUCUUCAUGGAAGCUGUGGAACAGAGCCCCCUCUGGUCCAGGAGGACUAACCAGAUUCAAGGCUAUCAGCAUCCCCCUUCAGGACAGUGGAAGCAGUCACCUUUUCGAGAGAGUUGAUGUGAUCUUCGCCACUGUUCUUCGCCGGUGAUCAUGUGUGAUACUUGGAGAGAGGCUGGCCGUGAUGAAUUCGAUUCAUCUAAACGAGUCAUACACGGCUCUCCUCUCUUCUAGUGUCAAACUCUGCCUCAGAGGUCUUCUUGAGCCACUACUGUAUCCAAGGAUGCCUAAUUGUAAUGCCAGCUUCUGGGGUGAACAUGGACCCACUGUCUUCCGUCAAGGUCUAGGAUGGACAUGGACCCACCAUCAUCUGGGAGGUCCUGGAGUGGACGUGGACCCACCAUCAUCAGGCAGCUUCCUGGAGUAUUCAGAAGCGGGUGGGUGUCGUCUGGAGGAUGUGACUGUGUAACAGCGCCAGAGCAUGUAUCCACUGAGCAGUCUUCUUCUCUUUCCUCUAGCCUCAUGAAAAAUUCUGGGAUCUUUACCUCAAAGGACUCCAGAGGCUACAUCAUCGUAUUGGAACUGGUCAGUGGCUGGACAUCUCUUCAGGACAAGUGCUUGGAGGAAGAACCUGGACAAGCUUCCCUCCCCAUGCUGUUGACUGGAUCUUGUAUCUACCGCUAAGCCACCAUCAUCACCACUGUGUGCCUCUUAGGAGCAUGUCUAGGAGGUGAUGCCAGCUGGGGGAAGAGCCUCUGUCACACAGCCGUCGGUGCCCGCUGCAGCCUGCGCCCGGGAUGUCACGGCCUCCGCUCAACACCUCUGCUGGACAGCUUCAGGUGGUGAUUCCAGCUCCCGGGUUGCUGUGGUCAACACUGGGUACUUGAGGAGAGGUUGUCUGUGAUGAGUUCGCUUUAUUAAUGACGAAUAUAACACAGAUGGCCUGUUUUCAAUACCACCUGCCACUCCGGUCACUCGGCAGUACAUACCAGGUGUCACACCGCUGCCCGGCAGGUGAUGUGACGACACUGAAUUGGUCCGGAACCCUGCCUGUGCUCCAUGCCAGCUACCAGUCCUAGGUUGGCACAUUCCAUUGGGGACAUCCAUGGGAGAGCUAUGGCCAUUAACAAGUCCUGAGACCUGAUCUGAUGCCAUCAGUGGCCCAGCUGCUCUACUGCCUCUCUUCCUGGAUCUCCUGCUUAUGACAACUGACAACAAAGAUAUUUGACUCCGGAAGAUGCUCCCCACAGCUCACCUGAGAGGACUAUCCAGUACCCCACCCCCACCCCCACUGUGCCCUGUGCCAUCCACCUCUGAGUCCCCAACUUUAAGUAGACCCUGCUUCUCACCCAUGUCCCAAUUCCCACCAGGAGCCUUGCAUUUCAGAUCUGAGCAGCCCUGGCUUAGAAUCCUGAAGUGGGGGUGGGUAGGCAGACCCCCGGGGACUGAGCAGGGAGGGGAAGGGGGUUCUGCUCUUGGCUUUCCAAGUUCUCGGUAUGUAUAGCCCUUUGAAUAAUAAACAUAUAUCAUAUAAUGUAAA